Mya arenaria is the source of this 3289-nucleotide RNA transcript. RefSeq lists it as uncharacterized. NCBI's taxonomy places the organism in Eukaryota, Metazoa, Mollusca, Bivalvia, Myida, Myidae. The record is from RefSeq and is a predicted model, not a curated record. The transcript is spliced from 9 exons.
GAAUCUUAAAAAAAAUAAUAUUCACAACAAAGUUCAAGAGGCUGUUACCGCAGCAGGAAAAUAUAUGUAAUCAACUUACGACACAGAGCAUAAAAUAAACACCAGAAAAAAUGAUUUGUUUUAUGGAUAGCAAGAUCAUAGUUUGGACGUAUCUUUAUUUUGCUACAAGUUCAAAAAUAGGUGUUUCUCCAGUUUCGUCCGAAAUAAUUCUUACAGCGUCCAGAGUAACAUUGGAACACCAGCAAAUAUUCAUUGAAGUCACAUGUACAACUAUACAUGUUUCAACCGCUAACUUUAAAAUAUAUUACACGAGCAAUGGCUCCACAAAUUUGAAGUCUUGUAUCAAAGCAACAAGCUGUGUUACUGACCCCCACAGACUGUACGAUUUAAAACAAGCUUAUGAAUGUAAAGCAAUGACGGACUUUAGCAACAACAGCAAAACUAUCAUAGCAGGAACUCUCCUGCCAAGAACAGAAACAGACAAAUCCACAUCGUCCGACGAGCUGCUAAGGGAGAACCUGAAAUGGAUCAUUGCUGGUGUGACAAUCAUUUGUGUUGCAGCUACCGUCUCAGUGGCAUAUGUGUGCGGACGAAUGGGAAAACGAUAUUAUGACAAAAUCCAGCGCGAGAACAGACGUCAAUGCACACGAAAAAGUUCAGCUUAUGACGUAAUCGAGCUUCCAGAAUUUCCAAAAACACGUCCUGAAAAGGUCCAGCCGGUAGUUACACCAAGGGAAAAAAAUGACACCACAGAACCAUACUUUGUUCGACGGCUUCAGUCAAUCAGAAGAUCUGUGUUUUCGUCCGCCUCUACGGCUUCGGGUUACAUGAACAUGAUGCUCCCACAAGACAUCUCCACUUCCAGAACUCGUACCAAAAAAGAACAACACGAGGAUACAAGUUACGCUAUACCAGAUAUUCCCCCGAGGAUCCCGACACCAUCACCUAUCCCGCGGAGGGAUAAAAAGCCAGUCGCACAUCAAACAUUGUCGCCAAGGACGACUAGGGUGAAGCCACCAUCGAUAUCAACACUGCCGUCACGUUUACAUACAAAUUCGGAACGCAUGUCAACGGAAACAACAUCAUGUAGGUUUAAACCAAAAUUACCCCGAGUUGACAAAGUAUUUAGACCGGCACUCGCAAACGAAAGAGGUGAUUCACAGACUCAGACUGUAGAAAAUACAAAUCGGGGUGACCGUUCGACAAACAGUGACAAUGCGAGUAACAGAGAAUCAGUGUGUGAAAUAUGGCAUCCUACGAAGCCUGAAUUCAAGAGUAGGUCGAUGCGGACUCAAAGAGAUAUCGAAAACAUGGAUUUUGAUCAUGAUGAAUGAUGCAUGAAUUUCUUUAAGACUGACUUAUUGUUACUCUAUACAACUAUUAAUGCCACUCUGCUGAUUGUUUUCGAUUGUAUUUACUGUAUUACCGAUUAUUGUACGGAGUUGUUGCAAUACAUGGAAGUAAAAUAUUGUUUUCCUUUCAUAUGUCACCAAGAUGACUAGUCACCUCUUUAUGUAGAUGAGCGAAUAGAAAUGUUCUUCCUGUUAUUCUAAUUGUUCUUCACUUACCAUAUAUGGUGUUUAAUAGAUAUUGAAAGGAGUGUGCCGGAAAUUAAUUUCAGUGACACAUACAGAAAACGUGCAUGACCAACAAUCGGUUUCGGUAUCACAAUUAUUUUCCAUUUAAAUUAAACUAUGUUUAAAUGAGUGUAAUCCUUAAAAUUUAAAAUAAUUCAUUUACUAGUGUUCCAUCUACAAUGCGGACCCAAUUUGUUUUAGCCGUGAUUCUUUUCAGCUGCUUUUCGCAAGCCAGCGGUAGUGGAAUUUCGCCUAGCCUUACACCUUUGAACAGCUCAUAUGACUGUCAGAGUUGUUUGUUUUCCGAAGCGGCUGUUCCUUUCAAAUUCAAAUGCAAUCUUGCUAAGGACUCCCAUGAGACCGUGGCUGAGGUAUAUAUAGGGUCAAACAUUCGCCAAGGCGGUUUCAAAGAAUCCGAUGGCGUCUAUGGAUUCAGGACAUACACGAUCAGGGAGGACGAUCAUUUGUUAAAAGUAAGAUGUGUUGCCACUGAUAUGGCACAGGAUCCUUUUAUAUCAGAGGAAACAAGUGCUACUUUGUAUGUCGUCAAGCAGCCCAAACUAGUAACACUGAAGAUUUCAAAGGCAAGCAUCACAUGCGUCGCUAAAGGCGGCCGUCCUGCUCCGACGUUAGUGAUGAAAUCAAACGGGAUUAUUCUAUCGACUUCGCAGUCAAAUUUGACUGACUCACCUCGCAAAACAAACAGCACUUAUACUACCAAUGCCUUAGUUGAGAACCCCUUGUUGUUAUCGGAAGGACAGACGAUCUCCUGUUGUACAGUCCCUUCCUUUACAGAAAUGAAGUGUGCUGAAGAAAAAAAGUUGGACUUUGAACCGAACCAAGGGAAUGAGGAAGUCACCGAAACAACAACUAAAAGCGCGACAACAGUCAGGUCUGAACCAGCAACGGUUUCCUUUGUGACACAAGCAAGCAAGGUCAUAGUUUCAUCAGAAGCGGUUAGUACGGACGAGGAAAAACACAGCAACGAUGAAUCCGCCUCCGCGUCUUCUUGUGGACACAUCCUGACUGUUGGCUGGCUGAUGUCGUUUGGAGUGGCAUUGGGAACAAUUUGACAUUGAUAUUGAACUGAGUCAAAGCUGUACAAAUAUAGGUGUCCAUAUGUAUUUUGUGUUAAAAAUGUUUGUGUGCGUGUAUAUUUAACUCAAGCAUGUAUUUGACAAUUGUGUUUCAAAUUGAUUUACUGUAGAUAUUGAAGAAUUUAUAUUGUGAAACGCAUACACUAUGCCUAUCCUUUAUUGUUUGCAUUAGUAUAAAUAUUAAUGAAUGCUUUUACAUCAUUUAUGUGCUGUUGAACAUAUAUUUAUUUAAAACAACACACUUUGAAAGCAACGUUCUAUGUAAAAACCAUUUUUAUAAAUUAUGAUUUUUUAAACAUACACGUACACGUGUUCAAAAAUAUGCUAAUGUAUAUUAAUGCAAAUAUCUCAUUAUACAUUUUAUAAGAGGUUAGCAAAAGAAGGACUAUUUUAGAGGUUAUAAGAUUGAUCUUAUCGGUAUUUUCUCUCAACUUAAAAACGAGCUGCUUUGUAAAUAAUGUUUUCUCACGCUGUCCGAUGUUGAACAAGCCUCGAUAUAAAACAGUAUCCCGACUAAAUCUUUCAACAUUAUCUUUUUAAUUUUGUUGUUGAUUUGUUGUGUUGAUGUUGUUGUAUGUAUGCCAAAAUGAGAAAAUAAAAGGUAUUUGAAAAUUG